CCUACGGGUGGCAGCAGUGGGGAAUAUUGCGCAAUGGGCGAAAGCCUGACGCAGCGACGCCGCGUGAGGGAUGAAGGUCUUCGGAUCGUUAACCUCUGUCAGCAGGGAAGAACGGUCACUGUGCUAAUCAGCAGUGAAUUGACGGUACCUGCAAGGGAAGCACCGGCUAACUCCGUGCCAGCAGCCGCGGUAAUACGGAGGGUGCGAGCGUUAAUCGGAAUUACUGGGCGUAAAGCGGUCGUAGGCGGUAUGUCAAGUCAAGGGUGAAAUCCCCGCGCUCAACGUGUGAACUGCCUUUGAAACUGGCAAACUGGAGUGUGUGAGAGGAUAGUGGAAUUCCAGGUGUAGGAGUGAAAUCCGUAGAUAUCUGGAGGAACAUCAGUGGCGAAGGCGACUAUCUGGCACAUAACUGACGCUGAGGAGCGAAAGUGUGGGUAGCAAACAGGAUUAGAUACCCGAGUAGUC
This 465-nucleotide ribosomal RNA is filed under the name uncultured bacterium. Its description in RNAcentral is "partial 16S ribosomal RNA". It matches the Rfam family "Bacterial small subunit ribosomal RNA", at positions 338 to 795 of the family's 1533-position model. The record is from RNAcentral.